AGAGUUUGAUCCUGGCUCAGGAUGAACGCUAGCGGCAGGCCUAAUACAUGCAAGUCGAACGGGCCGCAAGGUCAGUGGCAAACGGGUGCGUAACGCGUAAGCAACCUGCCCUCAACUGGGGGAUAGCCCGGCGAAAGCUGGGGUAAACCCGCACGGUCCAGUAAAAUCACCUGGUUUUACUGGUAAACAUUUAUGGGUUGAGGAGGGGCUUGCGUCUGAUUAGCUAGUUGGCGGGGUAACGGCCCACCAAGGCGAUGAUCAGUAGGGGUUCUGAGAGGAUUGGCCCCCACAUGGGUACUGAGAUACGGACCCAACUCCUACGGGAGGCAGCAGUAGGGAAUAUUGGGCAAUGGGCGCAAGCCUGACCCAGCCAUGCCGCGUGCAGGAUGAAGGCGCUCAGCGUUGUAAACUGCUUUUAUCGGUGAAGAAAACUUACCCUGCGGGGUGAAUUGACGGUAGCCGAGGAAUAAGCACCGGCUAACUCCGUGCCAGCAGCCGCGGUAAUACGGAGGGUGCAAGCGUUGUCCGGAUUUAUUGGGUUUAAAGGGUGCGUAGGUGGUCGUCUAAGUCUGGUUUUAAAGUUGGCUGCUUAACAGUCAAAGGUGGCUGGAAACUGGACGACUUGAAUGGGAUGGCGGUAGCCGGAAUGGGUCAUGUAGCGGUGAAAUGCAUAGAUAUGACCCGGAACACCGAUUGCGAAGGCAGGCUACUACGUCCCGAUUGACACUGAGGCACGAGAGCAUGGGUAGCGAACAGGAUUAGAUACCCUGGUAGUCCAUGCCGUAAACGAUGAUUACUGGCUGUGUGGUCUUUGGGCUGCGUGGCUGAGCGAAAGCGUUAAGUAAUCCACCUGGGAGUACGC
RNAcentral lists this ribosomal RNA (862 nucleotides) under Spirosoma sp. AKB-2008-JO115. Its description in RNAcentral is "bacterial SSU rRNA". It matches the Rfam family "Bacterial small subunit ribosomal RNA", at positions 8 to 885 of the family's 1533-position model. Lineage: Bacteria; Pseudomonadati; Bacteroidota; Cytophagia; Cytophagales; Cytophagaceae. The record is from RNAcentral.